CAGUGACAGUCUCAUUUGAGGAAGCUGAAGGCACCAGAUGUGCAGGACAGGGGUGGGUAGUGAAAAGAAGGAAGGAGGCUGGGACGAGCAGGGAGGAGGCCUUGCCUAGAGCCCGGGAGACAGCCAGAGUUGCCGUGGGCUCAGAAUGGCAAGAAGGUGCUCCUGCGGAAUCCCAGAUACCUGGUUCCAGGAAUCAAACCCAGAGGAGCAAGAGGGUUUCGAUCCAAAAGUCACUGUCUUCAGGACAUCCCUCAGAACACCUUGUGCCCUUGUGACUAUUGAAUUAAUUAUUUUAAGGAUAUAUUAAGUACCUCUGUUUCCCGUUGAAACAUCAGCUGGAGGAGGACAAGAAUGAUGUCUGUUCUGUCCUCCGGGCACAUCAUCAGAUCAUCAUAAUCUCUAAUCCGGAUUAGAAAGAUGAGUUUCUAGAAUGCGAAUCUGCUUAAAACCUUUCCUCUUCGAACUCAGGGGAAAGUCAAACUCCUUCAGGUAGCUUCCAAGGCCCUGCCUGCUCCGGCCUCGUCUCCUCCCACCUGCCUCCCCCUUCCCUUCCACAUUCAUCUAGACCCAGCCGUCUUUCUGUGUACUAAAGCAGGGGAACUUUGCCUGUGAGGCUUCAGAUACGCUAGGUAGAUUUGUAUUCAUCCUUCAGCUCUGAGCUGAGAGCUGCAUGAAUUGGUUGACUGACUUUUCAUUCAUCCUCUUCUAUGUGCCAGGAAGUGUACUAAGUCCCGAGGAAACAGGUGAACAAGACAGAUGGGGGCCCCGGCCCCACUGUUCCCUUCCUUGACCACCCUCACCCUGAGGCUGGGGUACGUACGGGCUCCACGCCUCUCUGAAGAAUCCAUGGCAUUGCCUGAUCACACUGCUGUAAUGACUAUUUC
This 884-nucleotide long non-coding RNA is filed under the name Zalophus californianus (California sea lion). Its description in RNAcentral is "lncRNA (ENSZCAG00015010066.1)". The record is from RNAcentral. Lineage: Eukaryota; Metazoa; Chordata; Mammalia; Carnivora; Otariidae.